This is a non-coding RNA of Paramuricea clavata, 213 nucleotides long. NCBI's taxonomy places the organism in Eukaryota, Metazoa, Cnidaria, Anthozoa, Malacalcyonacea, Plexauridae. The record is from the annotation of a GenBank genome assembly.
UUUAACUUGGCGUCGACUCGUCCAUGCCAUAGAUGGCAUGGACGCGUCCACGCCAAAUUAAAAGUUAAUUGGAACAUAUAUAUCCAAAGGCAUGGACGGAUCCAUGCCAUUGUAUAUUUAUGUUCCAAUUAAUUUUUUUUUAAUUUAUUUAACUUGGCGUGGACUCGUCCAUGAUGCCAUUUGAUGGCAUGGACGGUUCCACGCCAAGUUAAA